GAUGAACGCUGGCGGCGUGCCUAAUACAUGCAAGUCGAGCGAACAGAUGAGGAGCUUGCUCCUCUGACGUUAGCGGCGGACGGGUGAGUAACACGUGGAUAACCUACCUAUAAGACUGGGAUAACUUCGGGAAACCGGAGCUAAUACCGGAUAAUAUACUGAACCGCAUGGUUCAAUAGUGAAAGACGGCUUUGCUGUCACUUAUAGAUGGAUCCGCGCCGCAUUAGCUAGUUGGUAAGGUAACGGCUUACCAAGGCAACGAUGCGUAGCCGACCUGAUAGGGUGGUAGGCCACCCUGGAGGUGGGACGCGGUCCAGACUCCUGCGAGAGGCAGCAGUAGGGAAUCUGCCGCAGUAGGCGAGAGCAUGACGGAGCAGCGCGGAGUGAGUGAUGAAGGUCUUGCGAUCGUAAAGCUCUGUUAUUGGGGAAAAACAAAUGUGUAAGUAGCUAUACACGUCUUGACGGUACCUAGUCAGAAAGCCACGGCUAACUACGUG
This 497-nucleotide ribosomal RNA is filed under the name uncultured bacterium. Its description in RNAcentral is "partial 16S ribosomal RNA". It matches the Rfam family "Bacterial small subunit ribosomal RNA", at positions 28 to 507 of the family's 1533-position model. The record is from RNAcentral.